CUGUCCAGCAAAGUCUGUCUUGAGUGUUGACUGUCCAUAACUGAAUUUUUAGAAUUUCAUCCACUAUUUGAGGUAGAAAAUUCUAGUGAAGGAGGGCUACAUUCCAGGCAUUCUGUUCAGGAAGGAUGUAGUCCGCAACCAUUUUAGGCUCUUCUCUUUUUGCUGGUCCCCCUAGCAUGCCAAUGUUUAACCAUUUAGCUUCUCUAGCAUUAAUAGAAGAUCCAUUUCCAACUGACCAUUGAAGUCCCUCAA
This 252-nucleotide long non-coding RNA is filed under the name Eucalyptus grandis. Its description in RNAcentral is "long non-coding RNA (EGRA_LNC003754)". The record is from RNAcentral. Lineage: Eukaryota; Viridiplantae; Streptophyta; Magnoliopsida; Myrtales; Myrtaceae.